UACGAGGGGGGCAAGCGUUGUUCGGAAUUAUUGGGCGUAAAGCGUGCGUAGGCGGUUUGUCACGUCUGCUGUGAAAUCCCGAGGCUCAACCUCGGGCCUGCAGUGGGUACGGGCAGACUGGAGUGCGGUAGGGGAGAAUGGAAUUCCUGGUGUAGCGGUGGAAUGCGCAGAUAUCAGGAGGAACACCGAUGGCGAAGGCAGUUCUCUGGGCCGUAACUGACGCUGAGGAGCGAAAGCGUGGGGAGCGAACAGG
Molecule: ribosomal RNA, 253 nt
Filed under: uncultured bacterium
Lineage: Bacteria
Description: partial 16S ribosomal RNA
Rfam family: Bacterial small subunit ribosomal RNA
Source: RNAcentral